GAUGAACGCUGGCGGCGUGCUUAACACAUGCAAGUCGAACGGAAAGGCCAGUGCUUGCACUGGUACUCGAGUGGCGAACGGGUGAGUAACACGUGGGUGAUCUGCCCUGCACUUCGGGAUAAGCCUGGGAAACUGGGUCUAAUACCGGAUAGGACAAUGGUUUGGAUGCCGUUGUGGAAAGUUUUUUCGGUGUGGGAUGAGCUCGCGGCCUAUCAGCUUGUUGGUGGGGUAAUGGCCUACCAAGGCGUCGACGGGUAGCCGGCCUGAGAGGGUGUACGGCCACAUUGGGAAUAGGAUACGGCCCAGCCCCCUCCGGGGGGGCGCAGGGGGGACACUUCCACCCGGGGCCAAAGCCCAAUGCCGCCACGCCGGUUGGGGGAGUGCGGGCUCUGGGUUAGAAAACCCUUUCCCCAGGCGCGGAGCUGAUUUGGAAAGGCACCGGGAGAGGAAGCCCCGGCCAACCCACC
RNAcentral lists this ribosomal RNA (467 nucleotides) under uncultured bacterium. RNAcentral describes it as "partial 16S ribosomal RNA". It matches the Rfam family "Bacterial small subunit ribosomal RNA", at positions 28 to 506 of the family's 1533-position model. The record is from RNAcentral.